AUUCAUUGCUAGUGUGAGAAUAGGUUUAGCUGGGUUCCUAUGCUUUUGAAGUGGGAAUGGAUAAGACACAUUUGUUAGCUGCUGCCUGGAAGAUCGUCUGGGACCUUGAUCUGGGAGCCUGAGUCCCCACAUGGGUGUUUCUGCCUCGUGAGUUGGCAUCUCUUUCCAGCAGCUGCUGAUUCUCUUGGGGUUUUGUUUGUUUCUUUGUUUGUGGUUGUUUUGUUAUUGUUUAUUUUUUAGAUAGGUUUUCCUGUAUCCCAGGCUGAUCUCGCUCCACCUAUGUGGCCCAGGAUGAAAUCCUGGCCCACCCUGCCUCUACUGACCAAUUGCUGCGACUGUGUCUGCCGAUGUGCCCGGAUCGUGCCCGGAUCUCCUGGGGCACUCAUAGGUUCUUAGUCCUCUACGCAGCCACAAGCACGGCCAGCAGAGAUUCUAGGAGCAGAAUAACUAGCUUCACUUCCUGUGGAAUCUGGACCUGGAAUGUCUCCCAAAGGCCAUGUGUGAAAAGUCCCCAGACUACAGUGCUAUUUGGUUUGGAACUUUUAGGAAGUGGGCCCAUUAGAAGAAAGUUAGGUCAUUGGGGCCACACCCUUGAAGAGAAUAUUGGAGCCUCAGUCCUCUCUUGGGGUGUUUCCCGGCUUCCAGGAGAUGAAGUUUUAUCCACCACACCUCUGGCUGUGAUGUACUAUGCUAGUUACAACAGGUCCUUUGAAACUGUGAGUCAAAAUUAACCUUUCCUCUUUUUAAGUUCAUUUUCUCAGGUUGUUUUGUCACAGUGACCAAAAGCUAACACACUUACUAAUUCAGGGAUGGUGUUCGUGUGUGUGUGUGUGUGUGUGUGUGUGUGUGUGUGUGUGUGCCCGCCCUGAGGAGGGAGGGGAUACUGACGGUGGCCCCAUCUUGAGAGUGUCUGGAGCAGAAGGAGAAAGCAGUUCUUAUUUGAGGGGUCAUUGGGGAACUGGGGAUGAAGCCAAAGGUCCCGUGUGUACAAAGCGCAUGCUCUACCAUGCAGCACACGCUGAUCUGGCAAUUUCUUCCUAAUGCUCGCUCUGUCGGUCUGUUCAUUACAUCAUGGUGUGAGGACAACUUUAAUUCUUUCUCAAACACUGCAUUGUCUCCUACAGACUCUGUCCCCGUACUGAAAUUAAUGUACUGGAUAGAGAGAUUCUGCCUGACCUAGAACUUGCAUCAAUCUUUCUGCCACCGCCAUCUGGAUAAUGGGGUUACAGGUGGACAAGACUAAAUUUUAUUUAAUUAGCAAUUUUUGAACAUGUACAGAAAUAUAAAGUAUGAGUCCCUACCACACAGCC
Molecule: long non-coding RNA, 1310 nt
Filed under: Mus musculus (house mouse)
Lineage: Eukaryota; Metazoa; Chordata; Mammalia; Rodentia; Muridae
Description: long non-coding RNA chr11:61617837-61619147
Source: RNAcentral